CCUACGGGAGGCAGCAGUGAGGAAUAUUGGUCAAUGGGCUUACGCCUGAACCAGCCAAGUCGCGUGAGGGAAGACUGCCCUAUGGGUUGUAAACCUCUUUUGUCAGGGAGCAACACCGGCUACGUGUAGCCGGACUGAGAGUACCUGAAGAAAACGCAUCGGCUAACUCCGUGCCAGCAGCCGCGGUAAUACGGAGGAUGCGAGCGUUAUCCGGAUUUAUUGGGUUUAAAGGGUGCGUAGGCGGAAGGUUAAGUCAGCGGUAAAAUGUCGGUGCUCAACACCGGCCUGCCGUUGAAACUGGUCUUCUUGAGUGAGCGAGAAGUAUGCGGAAUGCGUGGUGUAGCGGUGACAUGCAUAGAUAUCACGCAGAACUCCGAUUGCGAAGGCAGCAUACCGGCGCCCAACUGACGCUGAAGCACGAAAGCGUGGGUAUCGAACAGGAUUAGAUACCCUAGUAGUC
Molecule: ribosomal RNA, 460 nt
Filed under: uncultured bacterium
Lineage: Bacteria
Description: partial 16S ribosomal RNA
Rfam family: Bacterial small subunit ribosomal RNA
Source: RNAcentral